RNAcentral lists this ribosomal RNA (497 nucleotides) under uncultured bacterium. RNAcentral's name for it is "partial 16S ribosomal RNA". It matches the Rfam family "Bacterial small subunit ribosomal RNA", at positions 28 to 507 of the family's 1533-position model. The record is from RNAcentral.
GUUGAACGCUGGCGGCGUGCCUAAUACAUGCAAGUCGAGCGAUCGGACCAGAAGCGUGGUUCUCUGAUGGUAGCGGGGGGCGGGUGAGUAACAAGUGGGCAACCUACCUGUGAGACACGGAUCGCAUGGGGAAACCAGAGCUCAUAAGGGAUAAGAUUGUAAACCGGGUGGCUCAAAAGUUAAAGCCAGUCUUGCUGCCACUGAUAGAUGGAUCCGCGCUGCAUUAGCUAGUUGGUCAGGUAACGGCUUACCAAGGCGACGAUGCGUAGCCGGACUGAGAGGGCGAUCGGCCACACUGGAACUGAGACACGGUCCAGACUCCUACGGGAGGCAGCAGUGGGGAAUCUUGCGCAAAGGGCGAAAGCCUGACGGAGCAAUGCCGCGUGCGUGAUGAAGGUCUUCGGAUCGUAAAACGCUGUUAUUCGGGACGAAAAGCCGUCUACUUAUACGUGAAGAUCAUGACGGUACCGUAUGAGAAAGCACCGGCUAACUACGUG